CAGAGUUUCUCUGUGGUCAAACCACCCUGCCAGCCUCCCUGCUGCAGCCGGCAGCACGUCACUCCAUGCGGGAGGGGAGCCCCACCUAAGGUGAGGCACCUGCUCCCCCUUUGCCUCCUGCCAUGAGUGGAAGCUUCCCAAGUCCUCACCAGAUGCAAAUGUUGGUGCCAUGCUUCCUGUACAGCCUGCAGAACUGUGAGCCAAAGAAACCGCUUUUCUUUAUAAAUUACCCAGUUUCAGGGUACCGAGUGAGACCCAGCUGACCUGGAAAAUGACAGGGACACUUUUUAUCCUUCCAACUUAACCUUUCCGUCCUGACUUAACCUUUCCCUCUUUGACACAAAUGAAGAAAUUAGGGCUCUUGACUGCUACUGAUUUAAGGGGAUUACAGAGGCACUGCCAGCGAGCAUGAGCACAAGAGUUUAGCGCCUCUCGGCAGCUGAGAGAGGAUGCUGCAUACUUGGGGCCUGGGACCUCCGAGAAGACCUUCUUCAGCCGAAAGCACACCUUAUUCUUGUCCCAGUUGAAGGCUUCCCAACGGUCUUCAUGUGGCACUUGCUGUGUGCCAGGCCCCACUCUGGGCACUUGGUUUAUUUCUGAUGGGAUUUCCGGUCGCUUCCACUUUGUGGCUCUUUUGAAGAAUGCCGCUAGGAACAUUCACACGCAGGUUUUUGGUGUGGACGUUCUUGGCCAUAAAAUAUGGCUUUUGGAAAAAUAAAGCUGAGACUUGGAGUUCACGGUGGGGGCUCCCCCAUCUGUGAACAGAAGCAGAAGUUUGGAACUGCCUUCUUUACUGCUCGAGAGGGAAAACUUGAGUGAAAACCAGGAUGCUGGCGAAUGUUGAGUAGCUAAGCUGCACAGGAAAUACCACUUGAUGACCUGCG
This 884-nucleotide long non-coding RNA is filed under the name Homo sapiens (human). RNAcentral's name for it is "HSALNT0084010". Lineage: Eukaryota; Metazoa; Chordata; Mammalia; Primates; Hominidae. The record is from RNAcentral.